This is a long non-coding RNA of Haliotis rubra (blacklip abalone), 99 nucleotides long. RefSeq lists it as uncharacterized. The transcript has 4 exons. NCBI's taxonomy places the organism in Eukaryota, Metazoa, Mollusca, Gastropoda, Lepetellida, Haliotidae. The record is from RefSeq and is a predicted model, not a curated record.
AUACAAUAUAUAAAUCAUAGAGAGUAAAUGCAUAUUAAAUAACAUCAGCUAACACCUAGCAUAUCUUACACAAUGAACAUCAGACAUGUUAUCAUAUAC